Long non-coding RNA from Benincasa hispida (wax gourd), 782 nucleotides. RefSeq lists it as uncharacterized. The record is from RefSeq and is a predicted model, not a curated record. Lineage: Eukaryota; Viridiplantae; Streptophyta; Magnoliopsida; Cucurbitales; Cucurbitaceae.
AGUCCAUUCAUCGAUCAUCUGUUGUAUGGCGAGAUCGUACUACUGGAGAAAUAUCUUACAGACGUCGAGAGGCAGUUCUCCAGAGCACUAUCCCACUCCACCCUCGAAUACUACCACUACUACACACAUCUAAAUUCUAUGGGGUUGCCAGAUUAGGAUUUAUUCAGUUGAACUGACAUCUAAUCACAGCCUUGGUCGAGAGAUUGAGGCCCGAUACGCAUAGUCUGUUGGAGAGUGCACUAUCACUCUACAAAGACAUAGAACUGUUGUUGGGGUUACCUGCUGACGGUGAGUCGAUCGCCGGAGUGAUGUACGAUAACUAGUUAGAAGUUUGUCAACUGUACCUCAGUGCGACCCCACCCGUCGACAAGAUUAAAGGAUCGAGGUUAAGUUUAAUAUGGUUAGGAACACAAUUUCGUGAGCUCACAGAUGAUGCAGACGACCGUCAUAAGAUAUUCGUGGGGUAGAGCAUGUUUGGCAUGAUUGUAUAGACAACUAUGCAAAGCAACAAGACCUGAGGUUCGAGAGAUAGUUGGACCUCUCAUACUUUUGCAAUUAUGGGCUUGGGAGUGAUUUCUAACAAUGGCUCCACAACUACAACAUGUUAAUGACGCUCAGUUAGUUGGAUGAGCCUACGGUUCUCGGUGGAAAGACAAAUUUUGUGUGACUAGGACAGCCACACAUGUAGUCAGCCAGUAUAGAUACAUGUUUGAUUUGCUUCAACUUGAACAGGUUAUUUGAGACCCGUACAAAAUUAUUAGGCAUACUUUGCCUAAUUUUUG